UACAUGCAAGUCGAGCGAGCGGACGAGAAGCUUGCUUCUCUGAUGUUAGCGGCGGACGGGUGAGUCACACGUGGAUAACCUACCUAUAAGACUGGGAUAACUUCGGGAAACCGGAGCUAAUACCGGAUAAUAUUUUGAACCGCAUGGUUCAAAAGUGAAAGACGGUCUUGCUGUCACUUAUAGAUGGAUCCGCGCUGCAUUAGCUAGUUGGUAAGGUAACGGCUUACCAAGGCAACGAUGCAUAGCCGACCUGAGAGGGUGAUCGGCCACACUGGAACUGAGACACGGUCCAGACUCCUACGGGAGGCAGCAGUAGGGAAUCUUCCGCAAUGGGCGAAAGCCUGACGGAGCAACGCCGCGUGAGUGAUGAAGGUCUUCGGAUCGUAAAACUCUGUUAUUAGGGAAGAACAUAUGUGUAAGUAACUGUGCACAUCUUGACGGUACCUAAUCAGAAAGCCACGGCUAACUACGUGCCAGCAGCCGCGGUAAUACGUAGGUGGCAAGCGUUAUCCGGAAUUAUUGGGCGUAAAGCGCGCGUAGGCGGUUUUUUAAGUCUGAUGUGAAAGCCCACGGCUCAACCGUGGAGGGUCAUUGGAAACUGGAAAACUUGAGUGCAGAAGAGGAAAGUGGAAUUCCAUGUGUAGCGGUGAAAUGCGCAGAGAUAUGGAGGAACACCAGUGGCGAAGGCGACUUUCUGGUCUGUAACUGACGCUGAUGUGCGAAAGCGUGGGGAUCAAACAGGAUUAGAUAGCCUGGUAGUCCACGCCGUAAACGAUGAGUGCUAAGUGUUAGGGGGUUUCCGCCCCUUAGUGCUGCAGCUAAC
This 823-nucleotide ribosomal RNA is filed under the name uncultured Staphylococcus sp. RNAcentral's name for it is "bacterial SSU rRNA". It matches the Rfam family "Bacterial small subunit ribosomal RNA", at positions 52 to 856 of the family's 1533-position model. The record is from RNAcentral. Lineage: Bacteria; Bacillati; Bacillota; Bacilli; Caryophanales; Staphylococcaceae.